UUCUGUGCCAAAGAAUACGAACAUAUUUAAAACAUUAAAAGACCUGGCGGUGCCCAAAACCAACCUAGAGGAGCCUGUUACAUAAUCGAUAGUCCACGAUAAACCCCACCAACUCUUGCACCCCGCCGUCUAUAUACCGCCAUCUUCAGCAAACUGAAU
RNAcentral lists this ribosomal RNA (159 nucleotides) under Laudakia stellio (hardun). RNAcentral describes it as "Stellagama stellio (hardun) partial small subunit ribosomal RNA". Lineage: Eukaryota; Metazoa; Chordata; Lepidosauria; Squamata; Agamidae. The record is from RNAcentral.